UACGUAGGGUGCAAGCGUUAAUCGGAAUUACUGGGCGUAAAGGGCUCGUAGGCGGCCAACUAAGUCAGACGUGAAAUCCCUCAGCUUAACUGGGGAACUGCGUCUGAUACUGGAUGGCUUGGAUCCGGGAGAGGGAUGCGGAAUUCCAGGUGUAGCGGUGAAAUGCGUAGAUAUCUGGAGGAACACCGGUGGCGAAGGCGGCAUCCUGGACCAAUACUGACGCUGAGGAGCGAAAGCCAGGGGAGCAAACGGG
Molecule: ribosomal RNA, 253 nt
Filed under: uncultured bacterium
Lineage: Bacteria
Description: partial 16S ribosomal RNA
Rfam family: Bacterial small subunit ribosomal RNA
Source: RNAcentral